AGCUCCAAUAGCGUAUAUUAAAGUUGCUGCAGUUAAAAAGCUCGUAGUUGCAUUUCCGAGGCAAGGGAUUAGUCCGACCUUUGGUGGGUAUUUAAUCCUCUUGCCUCGUCCUUGAGUGGUGCUUCUUGGUAUUAAGUUAUCGAGGAGAUAGCCGCUCAUCGUUUACUGUGAGAAAAUUAGAGUGUUCAAAGCAGGCUUAUGCCGUUGAAUAUAUUAGCAUGGAAUAAUAAGAUAGGGCCUCGGUACUAUUUUGUUGGUUUGAGAACCAAGGUAAUGAUUAAUAGGGACAGUUGGGGGUAUUCGUAUUCAGUUGUCAGAGGUGAAAUUCUUAGAUUUACGGAAGACGAACUACUGCGAAAGCAUUUACCAAGGAUGUUUUCA
Molecule: ribosomal RNA, 381 nt
Filed under: uncultured marine Chaetocerotaceae
Lineage: Eukaryota; Bacillariophyta; Thalassiosirophyceae; Chaetocerotales; Chaetocerotaceae
Description: SSU rRNA
Rfam family: Eukaryotic small subunit ribosomal RNA
Source: RNAcentral